RNAcentral lists this ribosomal RNA (508 nucleotides) under uncultured bacterium. RNAcentral's name for it is "partial 16S ribosomal RNA". It matches the Rfam family "Bacterial small subunit ribosomal RNA", at positions 28 to 507 of the family's 1533-position model. The record is from RNAcentral.
GACGAACGCUGGCGGCGUGCCUAAUACAUGCAAGUCGAACGCACCUUUCCUCACCAUGGCUUUCUCUCGAUAGGGACGGAGGGGGGCGGACCACUUAGUAACACUACCGUAACCUAUCCAUUAGAGUCGGAAAACCGUAGCUAACACGGGCUAAUGCCUCAAAACACAUGAUGCCACAGUGCAAAAGGGUGUAACGCUCUCUUGUAGGUCGCUGAGGGAUGCAUCCGCGCUGCAUUAGCUAGUUGGCUAGGUAACGGCUCACCAAGGCGACGAUGCAUAGCCGACCUGAGAGGGUGAUCGGCCACACUGGAACUGAGACACGGCCCAGACUCCUACGGGAGGCAGCAGUAGGGAAUCUUCGGCAAUGGGCGAAAGUCUGACCGAGCAACGCCGCGUGAGUGAUGAAGGUCUUCGGAUCGUAAAACUCUGUUAUUAGGGAAGAACAAAGGCGUAAGUAACUGAACAUCUCCUGACGGUACCUAACCAGAAAGCCACGGCUAACUACGUG